UACGUAGGGGGCGAGCGUUGUCCGGAUUUAUUGGGCGUAAAGAGCGUGUAGGCGGCCAGGUAGGUCCGUUGUGAAAACUCGAGGCUCAACCUCGAGACGUCGAUGGAAACCAUCUGGCUAGAGUCCGGAAGAGGAGAGUGGAAUUCCUGGUGUAGCGGUGAAAUGCGCAGAUAUCAGGAGGAACACCAAUGGCGAAGGCAGCUCGCUGGGACGGUACUGACGCUGAGGCGCGAAAGCGUGGGGAGCAAACAGG
This 253-nucleotide ribosomal RNA is filed under the name uncultured bacterium. Its description in RNAcentral is "partial 16S ribosomal RNA". It matches the Rfam family "Bacterial small subunit ribosomal RNA", at positions 524 to 776 of the family's 1533-position model. The record is from RNAcentral.